RNAcentral lists this ribosomal RNA (500 nucleotides) under uncultured bacterium. RNAcentral's name for it is "partial 16S ribosomal RNA". It matches the Rfam family "Bacterial small subunit ribosomal RNA", at positions 28 to 507 of the family's 1533-position model. The record is from RNAcentral.
GACGAACGCUGGCGGCGUGCUUAACACAUGCCAGUCGAACGGGUCUGCCCUGUUUUUUGCGGGGUGGGUCAGUGGCGAACGGGUGAGUAACACGUGAGUAACCUGCCCCUCACUUCUGGAUAACCGCUUGAAAGGGUGGCUAAUACGGGGUGUUCUGGCUGUGCCGCAUGGUGUGGCUGGGAAAGAUUCACUUUUGUGGUGUUUUGGUGGGGGAUGGGCUCGCGGCCUAUCAGCUUGUUGGUGGGGUGAUGGCCUGCCAAGGCUUUGACGGGUAGCCGGCCUGAGAGGGUGGGCGGUCACACUGGGACUGAGAUACGGCCCAGACUCAUGCGGGAGGCAGCAGUGGGGGGUAUUGCACAAUGGGCGGAAGCCUGAUGCAGCGACGUCGCGUGAGGGAUGGAGGCCUUCGGGUUGUGAACCUCUUUCGCCGGUGAAGAAGGUCCUGCUCUUUGUGGUGGGGUUGACGGUAGCCGGGUUAUGAAGCGCCGGCUAACUACGUG